CAAAGGCUUGGUCCUGACUUUACUAUCAACUUUAGCCAAAUUUACACAUGCAAGUAUCCACGCCCCAGUGAGAAUGCCCUCACCUCCCCCUCCGGGAAAGAGGAGCCGGUAUCAGGCACGACCCGCUCAGCCCAUGACACCUUGCUAAGCCACACCCCCAAGGGACUUCAGCAGUGAUAAACAUUAAGCCAUAAGUGAAAACUCGACUUAGUUAAGGCUAACAGGGCCGGUAAAACUCGUGCCAGCCACCGCGGUUAUACGAGAGACCCAAGUUGAUGACCCCCGGCGUAAAGCGUGGUUAAGGAAUCCUUAAAACUAAAGCCGAACACCCUCAAAACUGUUAUACGUAUUCGAGGGCAUGAAGAACCACCACCAAGGUGGCUUUAAACCCCACCUGAACCCACGAAAGCUAAGACACAAACUGGGAUUAGAUACCCCACUAUGCUUAGUCCUAAACAUUGAUAGACCCCCACACCCACUAUCCGCCCGGGUACUACAAGCACCAGCUUAAAACCCAAAGGACUUGGCGGUGCUUUAGACCCCCCUAGAGGAGCCUGUUCUAGAACCGAUAACCCCCGUUUAACCUCACCCCUCCUAGUUCAUCCCGCCUAUAUACCGCCGUCGUCAGCUUACCCUGUGAAGGCCUCAUAGUAAGCAAAAUUGGCAAAACCCAAAACGUCAGGUCGAGGUGUAGCGCAUGAAGGGGGAAGAAAUGGGCUACAUUUUCUUACACAGAAAAUACGAAAAGUGUACUGAAACGUACACCUAAAGGAGGAUUUAGCAGUAAGCAGAAAAUAGAGUGUUCUGCUGAAACCGGCCCUGAAGCGCGCACACACCGCCCGUCACUCUCCCCAAGCCCCCACGAAUUAAAUACUUAAAAAUAAACAAAUGCAAAGGGGAGGCAAGUCGUAACAUGGUAAGUGUACCGGAAGGUGCACUUGGAAAAAC
Molecule: non-coding RNA, 948 nt
Filed under: Diplacanthopoma brachysoma
Lineage: Eukaryota; Metazoa; Chordata; Actinopteri; Ophidiiformes; Bythitidae
Description: 12S rRNA
Rfam family: Bacterial small subunit ribosomal RNA
Source: RNAcentral